UACGAAGGGGGCUAGCGUUGUUCGGAAUUACUGGGCGUAAAGCGCGCGCAGGCGGUCUUCCAAGUCAGUGGUGAAAGCCCGGGGCUCAACCCCGGAAUUGCCUUUAAGACUGCAUCGCUUGAAUCCGGGGAAGAGGUGAGUGGAAUUCCGAGUGUAGAGGUGAAAUUCGUAGAUAUUCGGAAGAACACCAGUGGCGAAAGGCGGCUCACUGGACCGGGCAUUGACGCUGAGGUGCGAAAGCGUGGGGAGCAAACAGGG
RNAcentral lists this ribosomal RNA (258 nucleotides) under uncultured bacterium. Its description in RNAcentral is "partial 16S ribosomal RNA". It matches the Rfam family "Bacterial small subunit ribosomal RNA", at positions 524 to 777 of the family's 1533-position model. The record is from RNAcentral.